Equus asinus (donkey) is the source of this 2018-nucleotide long non-coding RNA. Lineage: Eukaryota; Metazoa; Chordata; Mammalia; Perissodactyla; Equidae. The record is from Ensembl.
CCGACAACUAAACCAUUGUCAUCACUACGAGAAAUGCAAACACACAUGGAGAGCAUGGAGUUGGAGGAAGAUCCAUCACUUUAUUUUCAGAAAGAGAUGGCCCGGGGGGAUACAGAGGCAUUCCAGCAGCACAGCAAAAACAAUCAUGUCAGCCAUCCAAAAACUGAAUCAAAGCCAUGCCGGCCAGCUUCCAUGCCCACACAGGUGUCACUGUGUACCAGCAAAGACAGGAUACUCCCAAAUCCUCGAGGAAAGUCUAUAGCACCUUGUGCUUUACCUUGGCAGGGAGUCCGCACAGGCUCAGAGACAUCCGCUGUCACCGCUUUCAAUCCUCUAACAGGACUAGCUGGUUUCCCGAAGAGGCAGUAUUGACUUGUAGGGCUUGUUGUGAAGGAGAUGGAUAUGCUGAUGUUCACCUGGGUGUCAAUAAAGCACCCUGAAAUACUCAGCAGUACCCCAAAUCUUCCAAGCAGGAGAACUAGGCCCAAUUCCCCACACUGGCAAACUUGAGGCACAAACAGCUGAUCCAUGGAAGGCCGACAGUGAAUCAAGGCCUCCUUCCCAGGCCAACGACUUGUGUGCCAGGGCAAGACGGAAGUAUCAGAUACGACACGUUCAGUGCACUCCCUCUUACUGUACAAGGCUCAAGUGGGCCUUCCAAAAACACCUAGAGGAGUCCAGCCUGAGUGACGGAUUAUACACCUUAAGCUGCUGGCCUCCAAGAAACAGACAAGGGACUCAGGGUGGCCUUCUCACCGUGGGAGGUUGGGGUAAAGGACCCUUUUGGACAAAGUCCGGUGUCCUCACACUUGACCCUUGACCACUGUAACCUUCCAGGGCCGGUAAUGAAUACACCUUUACAAGGCACCAGCAGGGAGCAAACACUCAGAACUUGAGAUGACCCAGCUGCUCGAAAGUCAAAGAAGAGGCUCUCACCUCCAGCAUGGAGCAAGGACAGGGAGGAGGCAAAGGCAAAGGAGAGCCCAGGAAGGGGAGAAAUGUAUAGACACCAGGCCUGCUUCUCCUGCAGAGGCAAGAGAACAUGGCUGAGCAGCCCCAGCAGAGCUUCAGAGAAUUAAAUUGUUUACCUCUAAACCUAGAUGGGGGCAAACAAGGGGCGGUUAUAUAGGAUCAAACGGGAGGAGUAUUUUUGGUCCAGUGCUCCAGAAGAGGGCAAAAAUGGAGCAAAGGGCGGCUAGGACCCCCUGACAGCAGACCAGAGGUAGCUUCUGCUGCACCCUGGACCUUUAUCAGUUUAACACACCCAAGCUGCAGCCCUGGGGGCAUCAGGAAGUGGGAACACCUUUUUUGGGGUCCUCUUCCUCAAGAAGCCUCUUCCUUGACUCCCCAAAUCUGUCUGGAUCGCCAUCUGCCAGGACUUUCCCUGGUCAGCGAACACCCCUCUGCCCCUCCGCGUUGAUGGCAGUGGAACCAGUGAGACCAGCAGCUGAGGUCCUUUCGCCUGUGCCAACGCAGAGCUGAUGCAGCAACAGUGACAGCCGCACUGCAGAGUUAUCCAGGGAAGGAAGGGGGAUGACUCCACCGGUUGCAGGAAAAUAAACCUCUGAGGCAGGUCUCCAGUGACUGUCCCACAGAGGAGCUUUCCCACUUGGGAGUUCAUUUUUAGCACUGAGAACCAGGAACGAAGUUACACGCCCACAUGUACUCAGACAGUAGGAAGGGACUUUAUUCACAGACUGCUCAAAAACACAGGCUGCAGAAAACAGGGAUGUGGACUGGCAAACCUGUUGCACCCUUCCAUCAGCCGCUUUCUUCUUCACUGAAUGCCCUGGAGCUCUGUGGCCAGGAGGCAAAACCCACCCCUUAUCCGCCUCUAUCGUGCGCCCCUCCCCCUGCCCCCCCACCAGCCGGAAGUAGAAGCCUUAUGAUGAGGUUUCAAGGAAAACAUCCUGCCUGGUUUUCUCCACUCCAAUGGGCUCUCCAAACACAUCCUUGACCCGGGACACAGGCAGAGUUCAAACCCAGCCUAUGUUCUGUCAGGCUGCUGGUCGUCCUGG